CGUUAAUCUGGUUUAUCUAGCGUCCGCCUAUCGGUCAUCUCAGCAAACUACGUGGGCAGCGAAAAGACGAUAAUCAGACCAACUAGAUAGGUUGGUGUUCUCUCUAAUGUGAAUUCAGCAAAUGCAGAUAUGCGUCGAACAGACUCCAUGUACGUGUUACAAGACUGAAGGGCCCAAAUCCUUUCUUCGAAUUGACACAUGUGGAGAAAAAGCAUGCACUUCCCUUGAGCAGGGCGAAGACAAGAAUCGGACCAACUAGAUAGAUAUGCUUUCAACGGAUCCCAUGUAUGUGUGUUGCUCGAUCGAAAGGCUGAAAACCUGUGCCCAUAAAUGCUGCUCAUGGACAGUGGGUUUAGGGAAGUGUUGAGGCGAGCGGCGUCUAUACAGCGGCCGGAUGCUGGAUGCGCAUUUAGCGGAGAUGUCGAUGCAAUGGCACCGGAAGAGGGAUUCAUAUCCGGUGGCAGCUAUAGGCUGCGACAGGGUAGUCCGGCAUGGGCUCGCGGAAGACUGGAAAUUUGGAAAAGGAUGGGCGAGGAGGACAUAGAGAGGCAAACCGGACACAGCGAGGGGCAGAUACAUGGCACGUCUACACGUUUUUUAGAAGUGGCUUCUACAGUUUUUGUUGUUGGACUACAAACAACAGAACAUAUACGGUUUGCAUGUCUCCAUAUCUAUGACUUUAGCCACAAACAGCAUUCUAGAUGGCAUCUACAGUUUUUUUAUUGAACAGAU
Molecule: long non-coding RNA, 732 nt
Organism: Triticum dicoccoides
Lineage: Eukaryota; Viridiplantae; Streptophyta; Magnoliopsida; Poales; Poaceae
Exons: 5
Source: RefSeq, a predicted model, not a curated record